Ziziphus jujuba (common jujube) is the source of this 2408-nucleotide RNA transcript. It is a transcript of the gene named peptide-N4-(N-acetyl-beta-glucosaminyl)asparagine amidase A, with no coding region annotated. The transcript has 2 exons. The record is from RefSeq and is a predicted model, not a curated record. NCBI's taxonomy places the organism in Eukaryota, Viridiplantae, Streptophyta, Magnoliopsida, Rosales, Rhamnaceae.
AAUCCAUGAUUCAAAGAUUUCUUUUCCUAUGUCCAACGACUUCUACUGAAACUCUGCAACCAUACAAUAACAAAGUAAAGUAGGAAAUCACAUCAUACUAACACAACAACAACAACAACAACAACCAUUCAAUGGCUUCCUUUCCAUUCUCUCCCCUUUUCCCUUCACUCUUCCUCCUCCUCCUCCUCCAUCAACCUCUAUUUUCCACUGCAAAUCUACACAAACUCAACCUCCUCAGACCACAGAUUCUCACCGAGCAAACACCUAUUGAGGUCACCCCACCUACUGUCUUCUUCGAAGUAACCAAACCUAUUGAGCUUCCAAACACCAAACCCUGUUCCCAUCUCAUUCUCCAGCAUGACUUUGGCUACACAUAUGGCCAAUCACCGGUCUUAGUAAACUAUACCCCUCCUUCACAUUGCCCAUCGCGGAAAUUCUCCAGGAUCGUCCUCGAGUGGAAAGCAACUUGUAAAGGAAGGCAAUUUGAUCGCAUUUUUGGAGUUUGGCUUGGUGGAAUUGAGCUCCUCCGUAGCUGUACUGCAGAGCCAAGAGCCACUGGGAUUGUUUGGAGUGUUGAGAAGGACAUUACGAGGUAUUAUUCCUUGCUUUUGAAGAAUCAAACACUAGCUGUUUAUCUUGGCAAUCUUGUGGAUAGAACUUAUACUGGGGUCUACCAUGUUAAUAUAUCGCUACAUUUUUAUCCUGCUGAUGAACAUUUCGAUAAUGAUUUGCAUAACCGGCAUGAUUUGGUAUCUGGGUACGAUUCCUGGGCCGAUUUGGUACUGCCCAUUUCUCGAAAACUGCCUUUGAAAGCUGGGUUGUGGUUUGAAAUUGAGAAUUCAACGGAUACAGCUUUAAGGGAAUUUAUAAUUCCCAAAAAUGUUUACAGGGCUGUUUUGGAGGUCUAUGUUUCAUUUCAUGAAAAUGAUGAAUUUUGGUAUUCUAAUCUUCCAAAUGAGUAUAUUGCUUCAAACAACCUAAGUGAUACGCCCGGAAAUGGGCCUUUUAGGGAAGUUGUAGUUGGUCUUGAUGAUGAAGUUGUUGGUGCUAUAUGGCCUUUUACUGUGAUCUAUACUGGAGGAAUCAAUCCCCUCUUAUGGAGACCGAUUACGGGCAUUGGGUCGUUCGAUCUUCCUUCUUAUGACAUAGAUAUUACACCUUUUCUUGGAAAAAUUUUAGAUGGAAAGUUCCACAACAUUGGUUUUAGGGUCACUAACGCCUUGAAUGUUUGGUAUAUUGAUGCUAACCUGCAUCUUUGGUUGGAUAAAAUGUCUGCGAAAACUGAAGGAAAGCUUUCUAAGCAUAUUAGCUUGCCUCUUGCUGUUUCGAUGGAAUAUAAGUUUAAUGGUUUGGAUGGGACAUUUUUGACGAGUGUAGGACGGUCUGUGUUGUCAACUGGAUGGGUUAAAUCCUCCUAUGGCAAUAUCACGACUCAUUCUGUGCAAGACCUUUAUUACAGUAAUUUAAUAGUAUUGGGGAAUGAUGGGGAUAUGCAGACGGUGAAUCAGACUAUCUAUUUCAAUGACUCUGUUCAUGCCGAGACACCAUCAUCAUAUGUUUACUCGUUGACAUCAAACAAAACAUUUUCUCUUUACUUGUAUUCUAACGAUCUGGAUCAGGGAAAUGGGACUUAUUUAUCUGUUGCAAACGUUACUUUAGGAUUUGAUGAGAAGUCAUCCAAGGAUGCUGGUUUAGGACUUUCAAAGUCCUCUUUGACAAAUCUGCAGAAUGGUCAGGGUUAUAUGGUUGUUAAGGACCAUCUGGUAUCUAGCGGGGUUGGGAGCACACAAGAAGUGUACUCAUAUGUUGGAUCCGAAUCCUGUUACUUCAGAAAUAUAAGCUGCUCAAACUAUACCAUUCUUUAUGAUGAAGUUGGAUAUGCAUGCCAGGAAAAGAAACAAUCUCAUCUGGGUUCCGGGUUAAAUAAAUGGUGGCCAUUUCCUGCGCGAAAGGCUCUUCUAACGUCUGACUUGCUAGUUAACAAUAAAGGAGUUUAGAUUACUCGUCUGGGUGGUUCGACAAAUGCUUCACAUAAGCCCUUCAUUUGUAAGUCGUUCCAGAGGAUUCCUGCAAGUGGAUGCCCCGAAUAAUAAUAGCUAGGAUCAUUGCUGAGCUUGAAGGUUGCCAUUCUUCAAGACAUUAUCUUAGGAAAGAAGCCUACAAUUCAAAAAAGGAAGUUAUUGAAAAAUCCCCUGAAUCUGGGUUGACUGAGAACGUUUGAAGAGUUUAGGGGACCAAAGAAAAAGUCUAAGCUCCCAAAGAUAUUGUCCAAGUUGAGAGGUAAAAUUCAUGUGCCGAAGGAGUUCUUCACCUACAAUUUCUGCUCGAAAGAUGUGUUGCUAAAGCUGCAACUUGAGAAGUUAUUUUAUGAUUUAUUAUGAUUCAGCAAAUAAUAUAAUUUACCAUUA